RNAcentral lists this ribosomal RNA (2331 nucleotides) under Neonectria punicea. Its description in RNAcentral is "eukaryotic LSU rRNA". It matches the Rfam family "Eukaryotic large subunit ribosomal RNA", at positions 939 to 3401 of the family's 3401-position model. Lineage: Eukaryota; Fungi; Ascomycota; Sordariomycetes; Hypocreales; Nectriaceae. The record is from RNAcentral.
ACCUUCUAGUAGCUAGUUUCUACUGAAGUUUCCCUUAGGAUAGUAGUAUUAAUCUUAGUUUUAUAAAGUAAAGUGAAUGAUUAGGGACUUAAGGGUACUAUUUAGCCUCUAUCUAUUCUUAAACUUUAAAUAUAUAAGAAGCUUUUAUUACUUAGUUAAACGUAGGUAUUUGAAUAUACUAAUACUAGUAGGCCAUUUUUAGUAAGCAGAACUAGCAAUACGGGAUAAACUAAAUAUAAGGUUAAGGUACUAGAGUAAACACUCAUUAGAUACUAUAAAAGGUAUUAGUAUAUCUUAACAGUAGGACGGUGGCUAUAGAAGUUAGAAUCCGCUAAGGAUUGUAUAAUAACUUACCUACUGAAUAUACUAGCCCUAAAAAUAGAUAGUACUUAAGCAUCUUAUCUAUACCUUGCCCUUAGGGUAGAAACGAUACCCUAAGGAAUAGGUGGAUGUAGAGGUUAGUAAUAAAGCCUAGGGCAUAAGCCUAGGUUGAAUGGCCUUUAGUGUAGAUCUUAGUAGUAGUAGUAAAUACUUUAAUAAGAACUUAAAGGACUAAAGUGGGGAAAGGUUCUAUAUAAAUAGCAAUUAGAUAUAGGUUAGUCAAUCCUAAGCUAUAGGGAAGUUCCGUUUUAAAGGCGCACUUUACGCCAUCUAGCGAAAGGGGAGCCAGUUAAUAUUCUAGUACCUAGAUAUAGGUUUUGCGCGGUAAUGCAAUUAAACGUAAAGAUAAUAGUAGGAGCCCUAGGUAGAGUUCUCUUUUCUUCUUAAUAGUCUAUUACCCUAAAAUCGGUUUAUCUAGAGCUAGGGUUUAAUAGCUAGAAGAGCCUAGUACCUCUAUUAGGUCUAGUACGCUCUUAAUAUUCCUUAAAAAUCCAUAGGAAGGAAUAAUUCUUAUACUAGGUUAUACUUAUAACUGUAGUAGGUCUCUAAGGUAAAUAGCCUCUAGUUGAUAGAAUAAUAUAGAUAAGGGAAGUCAGUAAAAUAGAUCUAUAACUUUAGGAUAAGGAUUGGCUCUAAGGGUUAGGUAUGUUAGGCUUUGGACGGAUGCCUUAGGAGUAGGCAGCUACUAGCCAGGCAACUAGCCGGCGGUAGCCAGCAUUUAGGUACUAAUGUCCUUAGUAGGCUUUAGCCGUCUAGCGUGCAGUUAAUAACUAACUUAGAACUAGUAUAGAUAAGGGGAAUCUGACUAUCUAAUUAAAAUAUAGUAUUGCGAUGGCUAGAAAGUGGUGUUAAUGCAAUGUGAUUUCUGCCUAGUGCUCUAAAUAUUAAAGUGAAGUAAUUUAACUAAGCGUGGGUAAAUGGCGGGAGUAACUAUAACUCUCUUAAGGUAGCUAAAUGCCUCAUUAUCUAAUUAGUAACAUGCAUGAAUAGAUUAAUAAGAUUCCUACUAUCUCUAUCUACUAUCUAGCGAAACUAUAGCUAAGGGAAUAGGCUUGGUAGAAUUAGUGGGGAAAGAAGACUCUAUUAAGCUUAACUUUAGUUUAAUAUUAUAAAAAGAUAUAGAAGGUAUAGAAUAGGUGGGAGCUUUAGCGCUAGUGAAAUACUACUAUUCCUAUUGUUUUUUUACUUAUUUAAUAAAGCGGGGCUGGAUUUAUAUCUAACUUCUAGUUUUAAGGUCCUUCGUGGGCUAACCUGGGUUAAAGAUAUUAUUAGGUGGGGAGUUUGGCUAGGGUAGUAUAUCUAUUAAACUAUAACGUAGGUGUCCUAAGGGGGGCUUAUAGAGAAUAGAAAUCUCUAGUAGAAUAAAAGGGUAAAAGUCCCCUUAAUUUUGAUUUUUAGUGUGAAUAUAAACUAUAAAAGUAUAGCCUAUCGAUCUUUUAGUCUCUUGAUAUUUAAGGCUAGAGGUACUAGAAAAGUUACUAUAGGGAUUAACCUUAGUUAUAUUCAAAAAGGGUAAUUAGUCUUAAUAGUAUGCCUUUACUUCCUUAUAAUAUAAGGUUUAGUAGUUCAUUUAACUAUACUCUAAUCAAUUAUAACUAUAGUCCUAGGCUAAAGCCUAUUACUUUAGUCUAGUUAUUCAUCCUACUAUAUAGUACUAGUAGGUAAUAGUAAUACACCUAGAUGCGGGGAACUCUCGCUAGGUCUAUAGUACUAAACGCUUAGCAAUAAUACCCUAGCGCUCUAAUAAUAAGGGUAUAGUAAUAAUCUAUAGAAUAGAGAUAAUCUAUAGUUAAGUUAGCUGCUCCUUCGGGAGAUGCUGGCCGGUUUAAUGCUCGCUAAGGUGUAGGUUGCCUAGGGAACCUAGUAGAACCCUAGUAUGGCUUAAGGUAUAGGCUAUGCCUACCUAAGAGGGUAAUAUCGUUUACUAGUAGUAUACGCUAAGAAGCGGUA